This 396-nucleotide ribosomal RNA is filed under the name uncultured bacterium. RNAcentral's name for it is "partial 16S ribosomal RNA". It matches the Rfam family "Bacterial small subunit ribosomal RNA", at positions 523 to 918 of the family's 1533-position model. The record is from RNAcentral.
AUACGUAGGGGACAAGCGUUAUCCGGAUUUACUGGGUGUAAAGGGAGCGUAGGCGGCCAACCAAGUCAGAAGUGAAAUCCCACGGCUCAACUGUGGGCGUGCUUUUGAAACUGGAGGGCUUGAGUACUGGAGGGGCAAGCGGAAUUCCUGGUGUAGCGGUGAAAUGCAUAGAUAUCAGGAAGAACACCGGAGGCGAAGGCGGCUUGCUGGACAGAUACUGACGGUGAGGGGCGAAGUCGUGGGGAGCAAACAGGAAUAGAUACCCUGGCAGUCCACGCGGUAAACGAUUGGUGCUAAGUAGUUGUAUCCAUAGGGUAUCGGUGCCGCAGUUAACGCAAUAAGCAUUCCACCUGGGGAGUACGUUCGCAAGAAUGAAACUCAAAUGAAUUGACGGGG